UGCACAGCCUAGGAGCUGAAGUCAGGGAACUUGCUCCAAAUGUAAAGCAGCAUCCAGGAAAAGCACUGCUGAAAGCUGAUUUGUAGUAUAUUGAUCUGAAUGGUAUUUACACCUGAGUGCAACUGCCUUGAA
RNAcentral lists this long non-coding RNA (132 nucleotides) under Parus major (Great Tit). RNAcentral describes it as "lncRNA (ENSPMJG00000012575.1)". The record is from RNAcentral. Lineage: Eukaryota; Metazoa; Chordata; Aves; Passeriformes; Paridae.